UCACAUCAAAUACAUGCAUCCAUCCAAAUCCAUUCUUUUUUUUUGCAAUCCGUUCAUUUUUUGUUGAUUACUAGACUAGACCACAGCAUUGUUUCUAAAUGACAU
Long non-coding RNA from Alosa sapidissima (American shad), 105 nucleotides. RefSeq lists it as uncharacterized. The transcript has 3 exons. The record is from RefSeq and is a predicted model, not a curated record. NCBI's taxonomy places the organism in Eukaryota, Metazoa, Chordata, Actinopteri, Clupeiformes, Clupeidae.